RNAcentral lists this long non-coding RNA (925 nucleotides) under Salmo salar (Atlantic salmon). RNAcentral describes it as "lncRNA (ENSSSAG00000104959.1)". The record is from RNAcentral. Lineage: Eukaryota; Metazoa; Chordata; Actinopteri; Salmoniformes; Salmonidae.
AGAUGAAAGACCGCCCUCCUCACAAGCGGUGGUAUUAUUAAAGCAGGGUGUGCCGUUGAAACAGUCUGAUUUGAGAACAGGGGCUAGAUAAGCAAGUAGAUACUCUGUGUGCCCAGCAUCAUUUUAACAGCUUGUUUUGCUCUUUGAUUCUGUUCACAAUGGCACAGGUCAACAGAUGUCUGAAACAGCUGUUCUUUGGAUUCAACAUGUUGUCAGGGGGUAAGUGUUGUGGAAUAAUGAGUUACAGAGACUGGGAUAGCAAGAUUCCAGAGACCUGUAAAUGUUCUAGUUUCAAGUCAGACCCGUCCCAAUGUAUGGAGGUGCAAACGACUAAAGAUGGCGGCAACUGGGGAAGAUCUGACAAAUCUGAAAUGAUGUGGAUCUACAGAGAGCCCUGUGGUCCUCUCAUCUUGAAGAACUUCGACUCUGCUUUUAAGACCGGACUUGGAUUCUUCUUGGGAUUUGGUGUUUAUUCUUUGAUUGGGCUAGUGUUAUCCGGCAUGAUGAUUCGUCAGAUCAAGAAGGUGCAGUCUACUGAAGUUCCUGAGACUAUAGACGAUGGAUAUCGUUUCACACCUUAAUUCCAGGCAAUUCGCCAUGUGGAGGGAGUUGUGGGAGUUGUGGGAGUUUAACCGACGACCUUACACCCAUAACCAGGGAUGAGGUCAGAGUUUCAGUUUUGGCAUCCUGGCAAGAGGCGAGGAGUAGAAGGUGCUCGAACAACGUGAGACGAGGUGCAACCAAAAAAAAGAAUAUGAGCGUUCGGAAUGAAAAGGCCCAACUCACUGCUCACCGUUCAUUUCAUUUGUGUAUAACCUUUUCUUUUUUAUCAUAAUAAAGUUUCGUCUGUCCAUGGCUUUUCUGGUCAUUCUGAUGGUCCAUUAAAACGGACAAAACGUCAUGAUUUUAACUGAAAAUAGAUUAG